RNAcentral lists this ribosomal RNA (400 nucleotides) under uncultured bacterium. Its description in RNAcentral is "bacterial SSU rRNA". It matches the Rfam family "Bacterial small subunit ribosomal RNA", at positions 355 to 767 of the family's 1533-position model. The record is from RNAcentral.
UGGGGAAUAUUGCGCAAUGGGCGAAAGCCUGACGCAGCGACGCCGCGUGAGGGAUGAAGGCCUUCGGGUUGUAAACCUCUUUCAGCAGGGACGAAGCGAAAGUGACUGUACCUGCAGAAGAAGCACCGGCUAACUACGUGCCAGCAGCCGCGGUAAUACGUAGGGUGCAAGCGUUGUCCGGAUUUAUUGGGCGUAAAGAGCUCGUAGGCGGCUCGUCGCGUCGGAUGUGAAAACUCGGGGCUUAACCCCGAGCCUGCAUUCGAUACGGGCGGGCUAGAAUUCGGUAGGGGAGACUGGAAUUCCUGGUGUAGCGGUGAAAUGCGCAGAUAUCAGGAGGAACACCGAUGGCGAAGGCAGGUCUCUGGGCCGAUAUUGACGCUGAGGAGCGAAAGCGUGGGGA